UUGGGUCCCAGCAGUGGCUGCAGUGCUCUCGUCUUCUGCGGCUCUGUGUGCCCUCUCCUUUUCGCUUCCGGAAACAUGGCCUCUGGUGUGGCUGUCUCUGAUAGUGUCAUCAAGGUGUUCAACGACAUGAAGGUGUGUAAGUCUUCAAUGCCAGAGGAGGUGAAGAAGCGUAAGAAGGCGGUGCUCUUCGGCCUGAGUGAGGACAAGAAGAACAUCAUCCUGGAGGAGGGCAAGGAGAUCCUGGUGGGCGAUGUGGGCCAGACUGUCGACGACCCCUAUGCCACCUUUGUCAAGAUGCUGCCAGAUAAGGAUGGAUUGCCGCUACGCCCUCUGUGACGCAACCUGUGGGACCAAGGAGAGCAAGAAGGAGGACCUGGUGUUUAUCUUCUGGGCCCCUGAGCCUGUGCCCCUUAAGAGCAAAAUGAUCAAUACCAGCUCCAAGGAUGCCAUCAACAAGAAGCUGACAGGGAUCAAGCAAGAAUUACAAGCAAAAUACUAUGAGGAGGUCAAGGACCACUGCACCCUGGCAGAGAAGCUGGGGGCAGUGUGGUCAUCUGCCUGGAAGGCAAGCCUUUGUGAGCCCUUUCUGGCCCCCUGCCAGAUAGGAGGGCUGGGGGCAUCCCAGCAGGGGAAGGGCAGUCCCUUCACCCCAGUUGCCAAACAGACCCCCCACUGCCUGGAUUUUCC
Molecule: RNA transcript, 687 nt
Organism: Mandrillus leucophaeus (drill)
Lineage: Eukaryota; Metazoa; Chordata; Mammalia; Primates; Cercopithecidae
Gene name: cofilin-1 pseudogene
Exons: 2
Source: RefSeq, a predicted model, not a curated record